RNAcentral lists this ribosomal RNA (812 nucleotides) under uncultured bacterium. RNAcentral's name for it is "bacterial SSU rRNA". It matches the Rfam family "Bacterial small subunit ribosomal RNA", at positions 100 to 895 of the family's 1533-position model. The record is from RNAcentral.
GAAGGGUCGAACGAGUAGGAAUAUACCUGGUAGUGGGGGACAACCCGGCGAAAGCGGACAAUUACCGCUUACGAUCUACGGAUGAAAGCAGGGGAGCGCACGGCCUUGGGCUAUCAGAAUAGCCUGGGCCGAAUUAGCUAGUUGGUGAGGUAAUGGCUCACCAAGGCAACGAUCCGUAGCUGGUUUGAGAGAACGACCAGCCACCCUGGGACUGAUACACGCCCCAGACCCCUACGCGUUGCACUGUGGAGAAUAUUGUACAAUGCGGGCUACCCUGAUCGAGCAAUGCAGUGUGUGUGAAGAAUGCCUUCGUGUUGUAAAGCACUUUCGAUGGGAAUUAACAAGCCAGAUCUAACACGUCUGCCCCUGAUGGUACCCAGAGAAGAUGCACCGCCUAACUCUGUGCCAGCAGCCGCGAUAAUACAGAGCGUGCACGCGUUCUUCGGAAUUACUGGGCGUAAAGGUGUGUAGGUUGGUUUGUUAUGUCAGGUGUGAAAUCCCUGUGCUCCCGUAGGAAUUGCACUUGAUACUGGCAUGACUCGAGUGUGGUAGAGCCAGUGGAAUUCCGUCAUGAAGCUGCUGAAAUGCGUAGGAUAUGCUGGAGGAACAUCUAGUGGCGAAGGCGGCUACCUCGUACCAAUCACUGACAGCUGAGGCAUCGAAAGCGUGGGUGAGCCAUACUGCCAUUAGCAUACUCGUGGUUAUGUCGACGCACCUAUAUCGAUGAGAACUAGACGUCUGGCGGUUUAUCCUCUUGAUGUCGGAAGACUAACGCAGUAUGUACCCCGCUGUCGAGUACGGGUCGCCAGAUU